GAUGAACGCUGGCGGCGUGCCUAAUACAUGCAAGUCGAGCGAACAGACGAGGAGCUUGUUCCUUUGACGUUAGCGGCGGACGGGUGAGUAACACGUGGAUAACCUACCUAUAAGACUGGGAUAACUUCGGGAAACCGGAGCUAAUACCGGAUAAUAUAUUGAACCGCAUGGUUCAAUAGAGAAAGACGGUUUUGCUGUCACUUAUAGAUGGAUCCGCGCCGCAUUAGCUAGUUGGUAAGGUAACGGCUUACCAAGGCGACGAUGCGUAGCCGACCUGAGAGGGUGAUCGGCCACACUGGAACUGAGACACGGUCCAGACUCCUACGGGAGGCAGCAGUAGGGAAUCUUCCGCAAUGGGCGAAAGCCUGACGGAGCAACGCCGCGUGAGUGAUGAAGGUCUUCGGAUCGUAAAGCUCUGUUAUUGGGGAAGAACAAAUGUGUAAGUAACUAUGCACGUCUUGACGGUACCUAAUCAGAAAGCCACGGCUAACUACGUG
Molecule: ribosomal RNA, 497 nt
Filed under: uncultured bacterium
Lineage: Bacteria
Description: partial 16S ribosomal RNA
Rfam family: Bacterial small subunit ribosomal RNA
Source: RNAcentral